RNAcentral lists this ribosomal RNA (424 nucleotides) under uncultured bacterium. RNAcentral's name for it is "bacterial SSU rRNA". It matches the Rfam family "Bacterial small subunit ribosomal RNA", at positions 29 to 498 of the family's 1533-position model. The record is from RNAcentral.
AACGAACGCUGGCGGCAGGCCUAACACAUGCAAGUCGAACGCCCUAGCAAUAGGGAGUGGCGCACGGGUGCGUAACGCGUGGGAAUAUGCCCUUCACUGCGGAAUAACGUUUGGAAACGAACGCUAAUACCGCAUAAUGACUCCGGUCCAAAGAUUUAUCGGUGAAGGAUUAGCCCGCGUUAGAUUAGCUAGUUGGUGAGGUAAUGGCUCACCAAGGCGACGAUCUAUAGCUGGUCUGAGAGGAUGAUCAGCCACACUGGGACUGAGACACGGCCCAGACUCCUACGGGAGGCAGCAGUGAGGAAUAUUGGACAAUGGGCGGCAAGCCUGAUCCAGCCAUGCCGCGUGAGUGAAGAAGGCCUUCGGUUGUAAAGCUCUUCUAGAUGUGAAGAUAAUGACGGUAGCAUCAGAAGAAGCCCCGGCC